UACGAAGGGGGCUAGCGUUGUUCGGAAUAACUGGGCGUAAAGCGCACGUAGGCGGAUUGGAAAGUUAGAGGUGAAAUCCCUGGGCUCAACCCAGGAACUGCCUUUAAAACUAUCAGUCUAGAGGUCGAGAGAGGUGAGUGGAAUUCCGAGUGUAGAGGUGAAAUUCGUAGAUAUUCGGAGGAACACCAGUGGCGAAGGCGGCUCACUGGCUCGAUACUGACGCUGAGGUGCGAAAGUGUGGGGAGCAAAC
RNAcentral lists this ribosomal RNA (250 nucleotides) under uncultured bacterium. RNAcentral's name for it is "partial 16S ribosomal RNA". It matches the Rfam family "Bacterial small subunit ribosomal RNA", at positions 524 to 773 of the family's 1533-position model. The record is from RNAcentral.